GGUGUAACUCAGUGGUAGAGCACAUGCUUCGUAUGCAUGAAACCCUGAGUUCCAUCCUCAGCACC
Molecule: transfer RNA, 65 nt
Filed under: Cavia porcellus (domestic guinea pig)
Lineage: Eukaryota; Metazoa; Chordata; Mammalia; Rodentia; Caviidae
Rfam family: tRNA
About the family: Transfer RNA (tRNA) molecules are approximately 80 nucleotides in length. Their secondary structure includes four short double-helical elements and three loops (D, anti-codon, and T loops).
Source: Rfam by way of RNAcentral